Molecule: ribosomal RNA, 335 nt
Filed under: uncultured bacterium
Lineage: Bacteria
Description: bacterial SSU rRNA
Rfam family: Bacterial small subunit ribosomal RNA
Source: RNAcentral
GGGUGAGUAAUGUCGGGGAAACUGCCUGAUGGAGGGGGAUAACUACUGGAAACGGUAGCUAAUACCGCAUAACGUCGCAAGACCAAAGAGGGGGACCUUCGGGCCUCUUGCCAUCGGAUGUGCCCAGAUGGGAUUAGCUAGUAGGUGGGGUAACGGCUCACCUAGGCGACGAUCCCUAGCUGGUCUGAGAGGAUGACCAGCCACACUGGAACUGAGACACGGUCCAGACUCCUACGGGAGGCAGCAGUGGGGAAUAUUGCACAAUGGGCGCAAGCCUGAUGCAGCCAUGCCGCGUGUAUGAAGAAGGCCUUCGGGUUGUAAAGUACUUUCAGCGG